Long non-coding RNA from Ananas comosus (pineapple), 1375 nucleotides. RefSeq lists it as uncharacterized. Lineage: Eukaryota; Viridiplantae; Streptophyta; Magnoliopsida; Poales; Bromeliaceae. The transcript has 3 exons. The record is from RefSeq and is a predicted model, not a curated record.
GCAGGGUUUUUUCGGUCUUUUCACUUCCCUAACUGAUCCUUAUCAGCUCAGCUCGACCCCUAGCUUGUUCUUAUCAGCUGGAAGCUUUGAGAAGCAGGGGGAGCUGCCUCUCUUUCUCUCUCUCUAGAGUUUUUCUCUCUCUACAAGGAAGCAAGGUUUUGGAGCUGAUUUCUUUCCCUCUCUUUGGUGUUUACUGAUUUGGAGAACUUGGAGCAGCUUUGGAGAGGAAGGGAAAUGAUCUUGGGAGAGGGUAUUCACAGCCUUAACUCAAUAGAAAUAGGGAUCAUAGCUGAGUAAGGUAAAGUACUCAACUUUCCCUUAAUUGAUGCUAUGGAAUAAAGAUGAGGUGAGUUCUUAAUCUCUUGUUUACAGCUGGUUGAGAGAAUGAUUUGGUAGAUAUUUAGGGUAUUUUAUAGUACCCUAACUCAGUUGGAGCUGAGUUAUGAGUUUGAGAAGAUCAACUAGUUACUUUCUUCCCUGUUGGAAUAUGGUAGGGUGUAUGUUGAUGCAGUUUUGGGAACUGUUUUGCAGCGAGGUCACCGCAGGAAGCUUGAUGAACCUUGCGCCUGGUUUUGACGGUAUUGGCAAUAAACUCUGAGGGUGAAUCAUGGAUCCUGAGCUAAAGAAAAGCUGAGGUGAUGAUGGGAAGGUGAUUAAAUGGCUACUUCCUCUAUUCUAAUGCUGAAAUAGUAAUAGUAGUAUUAGUAAUUGGUGCUGAAUUGGUGGUUAGUUCCAGCAGAAAAUGUGAACAUCUUAUCUGAACUUGGGAUGAUUUCUGAAGCUGGCUUGACCUAUGUUUACCUAUUUUAGAACUGAACUAAAGCCAUUGGAAGGUAUAUUACCCACUAGUUCUUUAAUUGAUUGGAUUAGCUGUAACUUUGGAACAGUUUUUAUACCAAUUCAGCAGGAGAUUAAGCCUCUUUGAGAUGAAUUAGUGACCAUUGAGAGCUGGAAUCGGGAUGCUUCAACUGAUGUUAAAGUAAAGGAUUAGCAUUAAGCUAAACCUAGGCUAUCUAAUCUUGUUCAGCUGAAAUUAGAGAGCUUUCUACGAUGGAAUUUGGUGUCCCAACCUGAAUCAAAAUUGAGAUUCAAGCUCUAGCACUAUAAUAGAUUACUUCUAUUAUGGGAGCAACAAAAGUUGACAGCAAACAGAGCCUUCCACAGCGGGAAAGGUUAGGGAUUCCUGGCGAGGGGUCAACGGCCAAAUAGAGCUUUCUCGACGUUAAAUAGAUGAACCACUACCAGUUUCUGUUAAUUUAGCUCAGUGUUGUACCUUGGGACUGUUACAGAAUGUUCUUUACUGUUUAAGUUGUAAUAAGAUUUCGAGCUGUAUAAGUUUACUUUAAUGUUAAGUCGUGCUCUGAUUACCUGGUUA